AUGGGAGGUACAUUUCUUCUAAAGCUAAAUAUUGGCCAGAGACCGAUACCGAACAAGUAGAGUGAUCGAAAGAUGAAAAGCACUUUGGAAAGAGAGUCAAACAGCACGUGAAAUUGUUGAAAGGGAAGCGCUUGCAGCCAGACUUGCUUACAGUUGCUCAUCCGGGUUUUUACCCGGUGCACUCUUCUGUAGGCAGGCCAGCAUCAGUUUGGGCGGUAGGAUAAAGGUCUCUGUCACGUACCUCCUUUCGGGGAGGCCUUAUAGGGGAGACGACAUACUACCAGCCUGGACUGAGGUCCGCGCAUCUGCUAGGAUGCUGGCGUAA
This 325-nucleotide ribosomal RNA is filed under the name Alternaria tenuissima. RNAcentral's name for it is "partial large subunit ribosomal RNA". It matches the Rfam family "Eukaryotic large subunit ribosomal RNA", at positions 292 to 634 of the family's 3401-position model. The record is from RNAcentral. Lineage: Eukaryota; Fungi; Ascomycota; Dothideomycetes; Pleosporales; Pleosporaceae.